RNAcentral lists this unclassified non-coding RNA (229 nucleotides) under uncultured fungus. RNAcentral's name for it is "sequence contains ITS1, 5.8S rRNA gene". The stretch from base 180 to 229 matches the Rfam family "5.8S ribosomal RNA", at positions 1 to 49 of the family's 154-position model. Lineage: Eukaryota; Fungi. The record is from RNAcentral.
UCUCCGUUGGUGAACCUGCGGAGGGAUCAUUACUGAGUGAGGGCCUUCGGGCUCGACCUCCAACCCUUUGUGAACACAACUUGUUGCUUCGGGGGCGACCCUGCCGUUCGCGGCGUGGGGCCCCCGUGGUCAAUCAAACACUGCAUUCUCUGCGUCGGAGUAUUAGUAAAUCUAAUCAAAACUUUCAACAACGGAUCUCUUGGUUCUGGCAUCGAUGAAGAACGGCAGC